GUCCUUCGGGACUAUGAACAUAAACGCGCUCGUAAUAAGCGGAUCGGACCCGGGGGCGGUACCCGGCGACUCCACCAAACAUCCUUCAUUUGGGGAUCAUGGGGUCGAAACAGGAUCGACGAACGUCUAAAGGGGUUUGCUUUGUUUCGGCUGUCUGCCACCGUUAUCGGCGAAACUUGUACAAUUGCAAAUGACAAUCGUGCUCCAGUUGCGAUGGCCGCGUAAGCGGUUUCAGCGACUGAAACUUAACUCCUUGGGUUUAGCGACCUAAGGCGGGGUUCGCAGGCACCUGGCAACAGAAGCCUGCACU
This 310-nucleotide transfer-messenger RNA is filed under the name Roseobacter denitrificans. Its description in RNAcentral is "Permuted(alpha) tmRNA". It matches the Rfam family "Alphaproteobacteria transfer-messenger RNA", at positions 40 to 355 of the family's 355-position model. Rfam says of the family: Bacterial tmRNA, also known as 10Sa RNA or SsrA, is named for its dual tRNA and mRNA-like properties. Lineage: Bacteria; Pseudomonadati; Pseudomonadota; Alphaproteobacteria; Rhodobacterales; Roseobacteraceae. The record is from RNAcentral. RNAcentral also lists the same sequence under 1 other name.